GAGUUUGAUCCUGGCUCAGGACGAACGCUGGCGGCGUGCCUAACACAUGCAAGUCAGGGGGAAAGGGGUAGCAAUAUCCCGAGUACACUGGCGCACGGGUGAGUAACGCGUAGGCAACCUGCCUUCAGGACGGGGAUAAUUCAGCGAAAGCUGGACUAAUACCCGAUGACAUUCUGUUGCAGCAUUGUAACGGAAUCAAAAGCCCGCAAGGGUGCCCGGAGAUGGGCCUGCGUCCCAUUAGGUAGUUGGUGAGGUAACGGCUCACCAAGCCAACGAUGGGUAGCUGGUCUGAGAGGAUGAUCAGCCACACUGGAACUGAGACACGGUCCAGACACCUACGGGAGGCAGCAGUGGGGAAUUUUGGACAAUGGGCGCAAGCCUGAUCCAGCAAUGCCGCGUGAGUGAAGAAGGCCUUCGGGUUGUAAAGCUCUUUUGUCAGG
RNAcentral lists this ribosomal RNA (440 nucleotides) under uncultured bacterium. RNAcentral describes it as "bacterial SSU rRNA". It matches the Rfam family "Bacterial small subunit ribosomal RNA", at positions 9 to 443 of the family's 1533-position model. The record is from RNAcentral.